GACGAACGCUGGCGGCGUGCUUAACACAUGCAAGUCGAACGAUGAAACCGGAGCUUGCUCCGGUGGAUUAGUGGCGAACGGGUGAGUAACACGUGAGUAACCUGCCCUUGACUCUGGGAUAACUGCGGGAAACUGUAGCUAAUACCGGAGACGACCCUCGGCGGCAUCGCCAGGGGGUGGAAAGAAUUUCGGUCAAGGAUGGACUCGCGGCCUAUCAGCUAGUUGGUGAAGUAGCGGCUCACCAAGGCGACGACGGGUAACCGGCCUGAGAGGGUGACCGGCCACACUGGGACUGAGACACGGCCCAGACUCCUACGGGAGGCAGCAGUGGGGAAUAUUGCACAAUGGGCGCAAGCCUGAUGCAGCAACGCCGCGUGAGGGAUGACGGCCUUCGGGUUGUAAACCUCUUUUAGUAGGGAAGAAGCGAAAGUGACGGUACCUGCAGAAAAAGCACCGGCUAACUACGUGCCAGCAGCCGCCGUAA
This 484-nucleotide ribosomal RNA is filed under the name uncultured bacterium. RNAcentral's name for it is "partial 16S ribosomal RNA". It matches the Rfam family "Bacterial small subunit ribosomal RNA", at positions 28 to 523 of the family's 1533-position model. The record is from RNAcentral.